GCGAUUGUGGCGAAGUGGUUAACGCACCGGAUUGUGGUUCCGGCACUCGUGGGUUCGAUUCCCAUCAGUCGCC
Molecule: non-coding RNA, 73 nt
Organism: Edaphobacillus lindanitolerans
Lineage: Bacteria; Bacillati; Bacillota; Bacilli; Caryophanales; Bacillaceae
Source: Rfam